CCUACGGGGGGCUGCAGUGGGGAAUAUUGGACAAUGGGGGCAACCCUGAUCCAGCCAUGCCGCGUGUGUGAAGAAGGCCCUCGGGUUGUAAACCACUUUCAGUGAGGAAGAACGCCUGGUGGUUAAUACCCAUCAGGAAAGACAUCACUCACAGAAGAAGCACCGGCUAACUCCGUGCCAGCAGCCGCGGUAAUACGGAGGGUGCGAGCGUUAAUCGGAAUUACUGGGCGUAAAGCGCGCGUAGGUGGCUUGAUAAGCCGGUUGUGAAAGCCCCGGGCUCAACCUGGGAACGGCAUCCGGAACUGUCAAGCUAGAGUGCAGGAGAGGAAGGUAGAAUUCCCGGUGUAGCGGUGAAAUGCGUAGAGAUCGGGAGGAAUACCAGUGGCGAAGGCGGCCUUCUGGACUGACACUGACACUGAGGUGCGAAAGCGUGGGUAGCAAACAGGAUUAGAUACCCCAGUAGUC
This 465-nucleotide ribosomal RNA is filed under the name Vreelandella stevensii. RNAcentral's name for it is "partial 16S ribosomal RNA". It matches the Rfam family "Bacterial small subunit ribosomal RNA", at positions 338 to 795 of the family's 1533-position model. The record is from RNAcentral. Lineage: Bacteria; Pseudomonadati; Pseudomonadota; Gammaproteobacteria; Oceanospirillales; Halomonadaceae.